GGGUUGUGAGGUUAAGCGACCAAGCGUACACGGUGGAUGCCCUGGCAGUCAGAGGCGAUGAAGGACGUGCUAAUCUGCGAAAAGCGCCGGCGAGGUGAUAUGAACCCUUGACCCGGCGAUGUCCGAAUGGGGAAACCCAGUGUGACUCGUCACACUAUCAUUAACUGAAUCCAUAGGUUAAUGAGGCGAACCGGGGGAACUGAAACAUCUAAGUACCCCGAGGAAAAGAAAUCAACCGAGAUUCCCCCAGUAGCGGCGAGCGAACGGGGAGGAGCCCAGAGCCUGAAUCAGCAGGUGUGUUAGUGGAAGUGUCUGGAAAGGCACGCGAUACAGGGUGACAGCCCCGUACACGAAAAUGCACCUGGUGUGAGCUCGAUGAGUAGGGCGGGACACGUGGUAUCCUGUCUGAAUAUGGGGGGACCAUCCUCCAAGGCUAAAUACUCCUGACUGACCGAUAGUGAACCAGUACCGUGAGGGAAAGGCGAAAAGAACCCCGGCGAGGGGAGUGAAAAAGAACCUGAAACCGUGUACGUACAAGCAGUGGGAGCACAGGUUUACCUGUGUGACUGCGUACCUUUUGUAUAAUGGGUCAGCGACUUAUAUUCUGUAGCAAGGUUAACCGUAUAGGGGAGCCGCAGGGAAACCGAGUCUUAAUUGGGCGUUAAGUUGCAGGGUAUAGACCCGAAACCCGGUGAUCUAGCCAUGGGCAGGUUGAAGGUUGGGUAACACUAACUGGAGGACCGAACCGACUAAUGUUGAAAAAUUAGCGGAUGACCUGUGGCUGGGGGUGAAAGGCCAAUCAAACCGGGAGAUAGCUGGUUCUCCCCGAAAGCUAUUUAGGUAGCGCCUCGUGAAUUCAUCUCCGGGGGUAGAGCACUGUUUCGGCUAGGGGGCCAUCCCGGCUUACCAACCCGAUGCAAACUGCGAAUACCGGAGAAUGUUAUCACGGGAGACACACGGCGGGUGCUAACGUCCGUCGUGAAGAGGGAAACAACCCAGACCGCCAGCUAAGGUCCCAAAGUCAUGGUUAAGUGGGAAACGAUGUGGGAAGGCCCAGACAGCCAGGAUGUUGGCUUAGAAGCAGCCAUCAUUUAAAGAAAGCGUAAUAGCUCACUGGUCGAGUCGGCCUGCGCGGAAGAUGUAACGGGGCUAAACCAUGCACCGAAGCUGCGGCAGCGAACGUAUCACCCAAGACAACUUUGCACAGUUGACGAUUGACGGAGCGAAGCGACGUCAAAGCGUUUUACAAAGUCGAGUUGGCUUAGGGAUACGUUCGUUGGGUAGGGGAGCGUUCUGUAAGCCGUUGAAGGUGGCCUGUGAGGGUUGCUGGAGGUAUCAGAAGUGCGAAUGCUGACAUAAGUAACGAUAAAGCGGGUGAAAAGCCCGCUCGCCGGAAGACCAAGGGUUCCUGUCCAACGUUAAUCGGGGCAGGGUGAGUCGACCCCUAAGGCGAGGCCGAAAGGCGUAGUCGAUGGGAAACGGGUUAAUAUUCCCGUACUUGGUGUUACUGCGAAGGGGGGACGGAGAAGGCUAUGUUGGCCGGGCGACGGUUGUCCCGGUUUAAGCGUGUAGGCUGGUUUUCCAGGCAAAUCCGGAAAAUCAAGGCUGAGGCGUGACGACGAGGCACCACGGUGCUGAAGCAACAAAUGCCCUGCUUCCAGGAAAAGCCUCUAAGCCUCAGGUAACACCAAAUCGUACCCCAAACCGACACAGGUGGUCAGGUAGAGAAUACCAAGGCGCUUGAGAGAACCCGGGUGAAGGAACUAGGCAAAAUGGUGCCGUAACUUCGGGAGAAGGCACGCUGACAUGUAGGUGAAGCGGUUUACCCGUGGAGCUGAAGUCAGUCGAAGAUACCAGCUGGCUGCAACUGUUUAUUAAAAACACAGCACUGUGCAAACACGAAAGUGGACGUAUACGGUGUGACGCCUGCCCGGUGCCGGAAGGUUAAUUGAUGGGGUUAUCCGUAAGGAGAAGCUCCUGAUCGAAGCCCCGGUAAACGGCGGCCGUAACUAUAACGGUCCUAAGGUAGCGAAAUUCCUUGUCGGGUAAGUUCCGACCUGCACGAAUGGCGUAAUGAUGGCCAGGCUGUCUCCACCCGGGACUCAGUGAAAUUGAACUCGCUGUGAAGAUGCAGUGUACCCGCGGCAAGACGGAAAGACCCCGUGAACCUUUACUAUAGCUUGACACUGAACACUGGUCCUUGAUGUGCAGGAUAGGUGGGAGGCUUUGAAGCGUGGACGCCAGUCUGCGUGGAGCCGUCCUUGAAAUACCACCCUUUAAUGGCUGGUGUUCUAACGUGGGCCCCUUAUCGGGGUUGCGGACAGUGUCUGGUGGGUAGUUUGACUGGGGCGGUCUCCUCCCAAAGAGUAACGGAGGAGCACGAAGGUUGGCUAAUCCUGGUCGGACAUCAGGAGGUUAGUGCAAUGGCAUAAGCCAGCUUGACUGCGAGCGUGACGGCGCGAGCAGGUGCGAAAGCAGGUCAUAGUGAUCCGGUGGUUCUGAAUGGAAGGGCCAUCGCUCAACGGAUAAAAGGUACUCCGGGGAUAACAGGCUGAUACCGCCCAAGAGUUCAUAUCGACGGCGGUGUUUGGCACCUCGAUGUCGGCUCAUCACAUCCUGGGGCUGAAGUAGGUCCCAAGGGUAUGGCUGUUCGCCAUUUAAAGUGGUACGCGAGCUGGGUUUAGAACGUCGUGAGACAGUUCGGUCCCUAUCUGCCGUGGGCGCUGGAAGAUUGAGGGGGGCUGCUCCUAGUACGAGAGGACCGGAGUGGACGCAUCACUGGUGUUCGGGUUGUCAUGCCAAUGGCACUGCCCGGUAGCUAAAUGCGGAAGAGAUAAGUGCUGAAAGCAUCUAAGCACGAAACUUGCCCCGAGAUGAAUCUUCCCUGAGACUUUGAGUCUCCUGAAGGAACGUUGAAGACGACGACGUUGAUAGGCCGGGUGUGUAAGCGCAGCGAUGCGUUGAGCUAACCGGUACUAAUGAACCGUGAGGCUUAACCUUACAACGCCGAAG
RNAcentral lists this ribosomal RNA (3012 nucleotides) under Salmonella bongori. RNAcentral's name for it is "23S ribosomal RNA". It matches the Rfam family "Bacterial large subunit ribosomal RNA". Lineage: Bacteria; Pseudomonadati; Pseudomonadota; Gammaproteobacteria; Enterobacterales; Enterobacteriaceae. The record is from RNAcentral.